Cairina moschata (Muscovy duck) is the source of this 1064-nucleotide long non-coding RNA. NCBI's taxonomy places the organism in Eukaryota, Metazoa, Chordata, Aves, Anseriformes, Anatidae. The record is from Ensembl.
GUAGUGGUGCCUGCACGUGUAGGAACGGAGGGAUGGUGCGGGGUGGGGGGGGCAGCUGCAUAAGACUCGCAUUCACUUGUUGCAUUCGAAGGGCAAAAUAUUUCAGCAGAAGCCCAGCGAAGUCAGCAGGAGUUUGGGAGGAGUAAAUCAAACACCAGGCUUAGCCUGACAACGUGCGUACUGAGCCCGCAUCUCCCAGCUGGCAGUCGCAGGGCCUGAUCCACAGCCUGGAGGUGUAAAACGGCCCCCCCGGGGGCCUCGGCUCCCCUUCCAUCCCACCCCCAUUGCCCCCGAAGGAGCCCCUCCCAUCGGGUGCUGCACUUUAGGGGGUGCAGCAGUGGGUGCCCCGUGCUCUGGGGGGGGGGCUCGCCCCGAAUGAGCCUUUAAAUGGACUUUUUGGGGCUGGAGGAGGGCUGGUCCUGAGGAGGACAUGGGGGGCUCUUGCCCUGCCCCUGUCCUUUCUCCUUGGGCACGCAGCGGGUGCCCCCAGCCCCACUUGGGGGAUGCAGAGCCCCCACCCGUGCCGGGGGGCUGCCGCCUCCUGGGGGGCCGGGGCAGAGCAGCGGCAGCACGGGGGGGGCACAGAGCCGGGUAGGGGCGUCCCCGAGCUCGGGGAGGGGGCCACGGACAUGCAGGGAGGGGGCAGAGCAUCCCGGCAGCGGGCUGCCUCCUCCAGCACCGACGGCUCCCCACCUCCAGCCCAACUUUCUACACCGGGGGCGGCCCCAGGUUGUGUCCCCCCCCCCUCCCUCCACCACCCUCGGGCUGUGCCACCCUCCCCCGUCGCUGCUCCAUCCCACCCCCUCUCUCUUUCGGCUCCCCCCUUCGCCUCCCCCCCCCCGGCCGGGAGCCCCGUCCCUCCUCCCCGGGGGGGCGGCCCCGCUCCCCGCCCGCCGCCGGAGGGAAGCGGCGGAGCCCGGGGGGGCGCUCCCGGCUCGGGGGGCGACCCGGGAGGCUGCAGCCGGAGCACCGGGGCUGCUCAUGCCUCCAGCUGCCGGAGAGCAGUCCCUGGAGCCGCAGGAACAAGAUGCCUGUGAAGUUUAAUGUCUCUUAGCCCUAGAAGA